This 498-nucleotide ribosomal RNA is filed under the name uncultured bacterium. Its description in RNAcentral is "bacterial SSU rRNA". It matches the Rfam family "Bacterial small subunit ribosomal RNA", at positions 40 to 507 of the family's 1533-position model. The record is from RNAcentral.
CGGCGUGCUUAACACAUGCAAGUCGAACGAGACGAUUUAGAAGCUUGCUUUUAUUGAGUCGAGUGGCAAACGGGUGAGUAACGCGUAGACAACCUGCCGCAAAGAUGGGGACAACAGUCCGAAAGGACUGCUAAUACCGAAUGUUGUAUCUCCUCCGCAUGGAAGAGAUAUUAAAGAUGGCCUCUACUUGUAAGCUAUCGCUUUGCGAUGGGUCUGCGUCUGAUUAGCUAGUUGGUGGGGCAACGGCCUACCAAGGCGACGAUCAGUAGCCGGUCUGAGAGGAUGAACGGCCACAUUGGAACUGAGACACGGUCCAGACUCCUACGGGAGGCAGCAGUGGGGAAUCUUCCGCAAUGGGCGAAAGCCUGACGGAGCAACGCCGCGUGAGUGAAGAAGGUCUUCGGAUCGUAAAGCUCUGUUGUCGGGGACGAAUGUUGAGACCUAGAACAUAGGUUUCAAAUGACGGUACCUGACGAGGAAGCCACGGCUAACUACGUG